This 1883-nucleotide long non-coding RNA is filed under the name Homo sapiens (human). Its description in RNAcentral is "HSALNT0356483". Lineage: Eukaryota; Metazoa; Chordata; Mammalia; Primates; Hominidae. The record is from RNAcentral.
UCUGUCUCAAAGAAAAAGAAAAAAGAAGAUUAGUUUUGACGAUUUGUUCUGGUAAGAUCUGGGAGCUGGAUUUAAGGAGCCCUGAACUUGGUGCCUUUUCCUUACUUUCCUUUUCUCCCUGCCCCCACCUGCCCGCCCCCUGUUGACUAGCUUAUUUUGUACAUCCCCAUACCAAAUCCCUUAAGAAUUGCAGGAUGUGACGCAGAUGAGGAAAAAUCCAUUCUAGAGGGGAGAUGCUAGAUGAUGGAAAACCUGGAUCUCAUCGGUCUCUGGUGGAGAUCUCCAACAUGCAGCAAGAAUAGACUACAAGAGGCUGCACUUAGCCUCCAGAGUUGUCUCUUCAACAAGACAGGUCUGAUCAUCUCAGUAACCUUCUUCUGGGACUCCUGUUAGACGUGUAUAUUUAAUACCAUUGGCUAAGUCGUAACAAUCAUCCAAGUCAACCGACCUCCCAGCCUGCCCACAUUGCCUCCCUGUAGGAAGUGAUUUUGCACACAGAAGCCCCUGGUGGGGUAGGGUGGAGUGUGAAGUAUCUGUUCUUGGACCACAGUUCCAUCCCUGGAGCAGCAAUUGUGAAGCAUCGUUCUCCUGUUCCAGCAUCUCUCCAAAGACGCUCAGGUCUCCGUCACAGGAUCACCAUUGAAAAAGGUGUCUGUCCCUCUGACACAUACCCAGGGGAGGAAAGAGCAAGCUUUGGAGGCACCUGGUUGACUUCACCUGGAGAAACAUAAAAGUCUGCUAAAGGUUGCUAGAAUUUUUUCUGAUUUAAAACAAAAUGAAACAAAGAAAGCCGACGACAUAGUUUGGAUCUGUGUUCCUGCCGCAGUCUCACGUGGAACUGCAGUCCCCAGUUUUGGAGAUCUUGUUGGGUCUGUAGUUUAUGCCUGGAAGUGCUGCAGCCUUUUUGCAUCCAUGAAGGAAUCUAGCCUGAGAACAACAGUACCACGAAGAGAGAAUGCCGAGCCAAAAGAAUCACCAAGAGGGGACCCAGAUCCCUGAUUAACCCGUGCCUGGAGCUACCACUACCUUUGCUUUCUUGCCUCAUGUGAUAAUACAUUUCCUCACUGUUUGAAAUUCAUUGAGUCCAGUUUUCUCUUACUUGUAGCCAAAGGCAUCCUUAACAAUGUAAUUGACUCCACUUUGCAGAUGAACAAAGAGACAAAGAGGGCAAGUGACACCUACAGUCACACCACUGGUAAAUGUAUUAAGAACAUGCAGGCAUUAGGGAGUAAAGUUUAUACAUAAUUUAAAGUAGUAUGUAGGAGUUUAGGACAGGCCACCCCAAAAUAUGCUGCUUUGGCAUAAAGACUACUUUGAGCUGGAGGAACUUGAAAAACAGUACAUGCAGACAGUGGCUUUCUCUGAAUUCCCUUUAUCUGCCUAAAGACAAAACCUCCAAAAGGAGCUCAGUUGUCGUCAGUACCCCCACCCCUGGGAGUUUCAUCAACCAGGGAAAAUUAACUCUUAUCACAGGAGAGGAGAAUGGAGGUGACAUCACACCCAAGGUUUGUCACAAGCUAUCACUUAUUCUGAGGGUCUAUUCAUCUUUCCCCAAAAUCAUUUUCUCUCUCCUAAAUUGCCUACAUCCCCCCUCCCUGCUUUCCCCAAAAAGAGGGUAUAUAACCUUCUAAAUCUCACUGUUUUAAGGGGUAUGACUUUUUUUCCUAUGAUGUCCCUGUGCACUUAAUAAACUUGUGUAUCUUUUAUCCUGUUAAUCUGCCUGUUGUCAGUUUAUUUCAUAGACCCAGUUACUAAACCUUGGAAAUUAGAGGGAAAAUCUUCUCCCUCCUCCCUCCCAAAGGACUUCCAAACAUAUUUUAUAAAUUAUAUGUACUUAUACUGUCAUAGUCACAUAUACACACCACAACUAAAAUUAUGGUUCA